AACGAACGCUGGCGGCGUGCCUAACACAUGCAAGUCGCGCGAGAAAAGGGGGGCAACCCCCUGAGUAAAGCGGCGAACGGGUGAGUAACACGUAGGUGACCUACCCUCGAGUCUAGAAUAACCUACCGAAAGGUGGGCUAAUGCCGGAUAUGACCACGGGAAUCACGGUUCCUGCGGUGAAAGGUGGCCUCUGCUUGCAAGCUACCGCUCGAAGAUGGGCCUGCGCGCCAUUAGCUAGUUGGUGAGGUAACGGCCCACCAAGGCGAUGAU
This 270-nucleotide ribosomal RNA is filed under the name uncultured bacterium. RNAcentral describes it as "partial 16S ribosomal RNA". It matches the Rfam family "Bacterial small subunit ribosomal RNA", at positions 29 to 280 of the family's 1533-position model. The record is from RNAcentral.